GUGGAAGAGAGCGCAGCCCGGCCACCGGACCUACUUACUCGCUUUGCUGAUUGUCUAUUUUUGAGUUUACAACUUUUCUAAGAACUUUUGUAUACAAAGGAACUUUUUAAAAAGGACGCUUCCAAGUUAUAUUUAAUCCAAAGAAGAAGGAUCUCGGCCAAUUUGGGGUUUUGGGUUUUGGCUUCGUUUCUUCUCUUCGUUGACUUUGGGGUUCGGGUGCCCCAGCUGCUUCGGGCUGCCGAGGACCUUCUGGGCCCCCACAUUAAUGAGGCAGCCACCUGGCGAGUCUGACAUGGCUGUCAGCGACGCGCUGCUCCCAUCUUUCUCCACGUUCGCGUCUGGCCCGGCGGGAAGGGAGAAGACACUGCGUCAAGCAGGUGCCCCGAAUAACCGCUGGCGGGAGGAGCUCUCCCACAUGAAGCGACUUCCCCCAGUGCUUCCCGGCCGCCCCUAUGACCUGGCGGCGGCGACCGUGGCCACAGACCUGGAGAGCGGCGGAGCCGGUGCGGCUUGCGGCGGUAGCAACCUGGCGCCCCUACCUCGGAGAGAGACCGAGGAGUUCAACGAUCUCCUGGACCUGGACUUUAUCCUCUCCAAUUCGCUGACCCAUCCUCCGGAGUCAGUGGCCGCCACCGUGUCCUCGUCAGCGUCAGCCUCCUCUUCGUCGUCGCCGUCGAGCAGCGGCCCUGCCAGCGCGCCCUCCACCUGCAGCUUCACCUAUCCGAUCCGGGCCGGGAACGACCCGGGCGUGGCGCCGGGCGGCACGGGCGGAGGCCUCCUCUAUGGCAGGGAGUCCGCUCCCCCUCCGACGGCUCCCUUCAACCUGGCGGACAUCAACGACGUGAGCCCCUCGGGCGGCUUCGUGGCCGAGCUCCUGCGGCCAGAAUUGGACCCGGUGUACAUUCCGCCGCAGCAGCCGCAGCCGCCAGGUGGCGGGCUGAUGGGCAAGUUCGUGCUGAAGGCGUCGCUGAGCGCCCCUGGCAGCGAGUACGGCAGCCCAUCGGUCAUCAGCGUCAGCAAAGGCAGCCCUGACGGCAGCCACCCGGUGGUGGUGGCGCCCUACAACGGCGGGCCGCCGCGCACGUGCCCCAAGAUCAAGCAGGAGGCGGUCUCUUCGUGCACCCACUUGGGCGCUGGACCCCCUCUCAGCAAUGGCCACCGGCCGGCUGCACACGACUUCCCCCUGGGGCGGCAGCUCCCCAGCAGGACUACCCCGACCCUGGGUCUUGAGGAAGUGCUGAGCAGCAGGGACUGUCACCCUGCCCUGCCGCUUCCUCCCGGCUUCCAUCCCCACCCGGGGCCCAAUUACCCAUCCUUCCUGCCCGAUCAGAUGCAGCCGCAAGUCCCGCCGCUCCAUUACCAAGGUCAGUCCCGGGGAUUUGUAGCUCGGGCUGGGGAGCCCUGUGUGUGCUGGCCCCCCUUCGGGACACACGGGAUGAUGCUCACCCCACCUUCUUCACCCCUAGAGCUCAUGCCACCCGGUUCCUGCAUGCCGGAGGAGCCCAAGCCAAAGAGGGGAAGACGAUCGUGGCCCCGGAAAAGGACCGCCACCCACACUUGUGAUUACGCGGGCUGCGGCAAAACCUACACAAAGAGUUCCCAUCUCAAGGCACACCUGCGAACCCACACAGGUGAGAAACCUUACCACUGUGACUGGGACGGCUGUGGAUGGAAAUUCGCCCGCUCAGAUGAACUGACCAGGCACUACCGUAAACACACUGGGCACCGCCCGUUCCAGUGCCAAAAAUGCGACCGAGCAUUUUCCAGGUCGGACCACCUCGCCUUACACAUGAAGAGGCAUUUUUAAAUCCCAGACAGUGGAUAUGACCCACACUGCCAGAAGAGAAUUCAGUAUUUUUUACUUUUCACACUGUCUUCCCGAUGAGGGAAGGAGCCCAGCCAGAAAGCACUACAAUCAUGGUCAAGUUCCCAACUGAGUCAUCUUGUGAGUGGAUAAUCAGGAAAAAUGAGGAAUCCAAAAGACAAAAAUCAAAGAACAGAUGGGGUCUGUGACUGGAUCUUCUAUCAUUCCAAUUCUAAAUCCGACUUGAAUAUUCCUGGACUUACAAAAUGCCAAGGGGGUGACUGGAAGUUGUGGAUAUCAGGGUAUAAAUUAUAUCCGUGAGUUGGGGGAGGGAAGACCAGAAUUCCCUUGAAUUGUGUAUUGAUGCAAUAUAAGCAUAAAAGAUCACCUUGUAUUCUCUUUACCUUCUAAAAGCCAUUAUUAUGAUGUUAGAAGAAGAGGAAGAAAUUCAGGUACAGAAAACAUGUUUAAAUAGCCUAAAUGAUGGUGCUUGGUGAGUCUUGGUUCUAAAGGUACCAAACAAGGAAGCCAAAGUUUUCAAACUGCUGCAUACUUUGACAAGGAAAAUCUAUAUUUGUCUUCCGAUCAACAUUUAUGACCUAAGUCAGGUAAUAUACCUGGUUUACUUCUUUAGCAUUUUUAUGCAGACAGUCUGUUAUGCACUGUGGUUUCAGAUGUGCAAUAAUUUGUACAAUGGUUUAUUCCCAAGUAUGCCUUAAGCAGAACAAAUGUGUUUUUCUAUAUAGUUCCUUGCCUUAAUAAAUAUGUAAUAUAAAUUUAAGCAAACGUCUAUUUUGUAUAUUUGUAAACUACAAAGUAAAAUGAACAUUUUGUGGAGUUUGUAUUUUGCAUACUCAAGGUGAGAAUUAAGUUUUAAAUAAACCUAUAAUAUUUUAUCUGAA
This 2706-nucleotide small RNA is filed under the name Pan troglodytes (chimpanzee). RNAcentral describes it as "retained intron". Lineage: Eukaryota; Metazoa; Chordata; Mammalia; Primates; Hominidae. The record is from RNAcentral.